This 482-nucleotide ribosomal RNA is filed under the name uncultured bacterium. RNAcentral describes it as "partial 16S ribosomal RNA". It matches the Rfam family "Bacterial small subunit ribosomal RNA", at positions 30 to 507 of the family's 1533-position model. The record is from RNAcentral.
AUUGAACGCUGGCGGCAUGCUUUACACAUGCAAGUCGAACGGUAACAGGCCGCAAGGUGCUGACGAGUGGCGAACGGGUGGGUAAUGCAUCGGAACGUGCCCAGCCGUGGGGGAUAACUACUCGAAAGAGUAGCUAAUACCGCAUACGAUCUAUGGAUGAAAGCGGGGGACCGUAAGGCCUCGCGCGAUUGGAGCGGCCGAUGUCAGAUUAGGUAGUUGGUGGGGUAAAGGCUCACCAAGCCAACGAUCUGUAGCUGGUCUGAGAGGACGACCAGCCACACUGGGACUGAGACACGGCCCAGACUCCUACGGGAGGCAGCAGUGGGGAAUUUUGGACAAUGGGCGCAAGCCUGAUCCAGCAAUGCCGCGUGCAGGAAGAAGGCCUUCGGGUUGUAAACUGCUUUUGUACGGAACGAAACGGCUCUGGUUAAUACCCGGGGCUAAUGACGGUACCGUAAGAAUAAGCACCGGCUAACUACGUG